AAUACCCGCUGAACUUAAGCAUAUCAAAAAGCGGAGCUC
RNAcentral lists this ribosomal RNA (39 nucleotides) under Pyricularia oryzae. Its description in RNAcentral is "partial 28S ribosomal RNA". The record is from RNAcentral. Lineage: Eukaryota; Fungi; Ascomycota; Sordariomycetes; Magnaporthales; Pyriculariaceae.